RNAcentral lists this ribosomal RNA (412 nucleotides) under bacterium enrichment culture clone ALO1_GLFRUDD03FQYDR. Its description in RNAcentral is "bacterial SSU rRNA". It matches the Rfam family "Bacterial small subunit ribosomal RNA", at positions 9 to 423 of the family's 1533-position model. The record is from RNAcentral.
GAGUUUGAUCAUGGCUCAGAUUGAACGCUGGCGGCAUGCCUUACACAUGCAAGUCGAACGGCAGCACGGGAGCUUGCUCCUGGUGGCGAGUGGCGAACGGGUGAGUAAUGCAUCGGAACGUAUCCUGGAGUGGGGGAUAACGUAGCGAAAGUUACGCUAAUACCGCAUAUUCUGUGAGCAGGAAAGUGGGGGACCUUCGGGCCUCGCGCUCUUGGAGCGGCCGAUGUCGGAUUAGCUAGUUGGUGAGGUAAAGGCUCACCAAGGCGACGAUCCGUAGCAGGUCUGAGAGGAUGAUCUGCCACACUGGAACUGAGACACGGUCCAGACUCCUACGGGAGGCAGCAGUGGGGAAUUUUGGACAAUGGGGGCAACCCUGAUCCAGCCAUGCCGCGUGAGUGAAGAAGGCCUCGGU